RNAcentral lists this ribosomal RNA (235 nucleotides) under uncultured bacterium. RNAcentral's name for it is "partial 16S ribosomal RNA". It matches the Rfam family "Bacterial small subunit ribosomal RNA", at positions 15 to 237 of the family's 1533-position model. The record is from RNAcentral.
GAUCCUGGCUCAGGAUGAACGCUAGCUACAGGCUUAACACAUGCAAGUCGAGGGGCAGCAUGGUCUUAGCUUGCUAAGGCCGAUGGCGACCGGCGCACGGGUGAGUAACGCGUAUCCAACCUGCCUUACACUCUUGGACAGCCUUCUGAAAGGGAGAUUAAUACAAGAUGUUAUCAUGAGUAAGCAUUUUCGCAUGAUUAAAGGUUUUACCGGGUGUAAAGAUGGGGGAUGCGUU